UACGUAGGGAGCAAGCGUUGUCCGGAAUCAUUGGGCGUAAAGAGCGCGUAGGCGGUCCGGUAAGUCGGUUGUGAAAACUGGGGGCUCAACCCUCAGAGGCCGACCGAUACUGCCGGGCUAGAGUCCGGAAGAGGCGAGUGGAAUUCCUGGUGUAGCGGUGAAAUUCGUAGAUAUCGGGAGGAACACCGGUGGCGAAGGCGCCUGUCUGGCUGACAACUGACGCUGAGACUCGAAAGCAUGGGGAGCAAACAGG
RNAcentral lists this ribosomal RNA (253 nucleotides) under uncultured bacterium. Its description in RNAcentral is "partial 16S ribosomal RNA". It matches the Rfam family "Bacterial small subunit ribosomal RNA", at positions 524 to 776 of the family's 1533-position model. The record is from RNAcentral.